UACGAAGGUCCCAAGCGUUAUCCGGAUUUAUUGGGUUUAAAGGGUGCGUAGGCGGUCUAUUAAGUCAGUGGUGAAAGCCCCAAGCUCAACUUGGGAACUGCCAUUGAUACUGAUGGACUUGAGUACAUUUGAGGUGGGCGGAAUGUGUCAUGUAGCGGUGAAAUGCUUAGAUAUGACAUAGAACACCCAUUGCGAAGGCAGCUCACUACGGGAAUAUUGACACUGAGGCACGAAAGCGUGGGGAUCAAACAGG
RNAcentral lists this ribosomal RNA (253 nucleotides) under uncultured bacterium. RNAcentral describes it as "partial 16S ribosomal RNA". It matches the Rfam family "Bacterial small subunit ribosomal RNA", at positions 524 to 776 of the family's 1533-position model. The record is from RNAcentral.